CCGACAUUGGUGCCUUAGACACAAUUGAUAUAGUGAGGAUAACUCACCUGGCACUACUGAAGUCUCGCAGAUAAAACUCUAGCUGUUGGUUGACAGCUUCCCAAACUGUCAAAAUCAAACAAUACCCAAUUAAUAAUUGGUUCCAAGCUUAAGGUCCAACUCACAUUUCAAAAGCCCAAAAGCCAAGUAAUGGGCCAAAAGCCAACAUAUGGCCCAAUUUUCCAAAUUGGGCCCAGACCUCUACAUGGUUUUUCCUUAAGGCCCAUCUAUUUAUUCUAGUCCAAACUUUUGAUAUUCCCAUGGCCCAAUAUCGCAUAAUCGUAAGGGCCAAUAAUGGCCCACCUAUGGCCCAAUUUUCCAAAUUGGUCUCAAGUCCCUCAUAUAGGCCUUAUCCUAAAGCCCAUCUAAUUAUUUUAGUUCAUUUACUUAUUCUUGGAUAGUCCAUCAGUAGCCCAAUCUCCAAGCCCAAUGGAAAGGUCCAAUUCAAGGCCCAAGUGAGAUUAGGGUUUUCAUGUGAAAUGAUGAUUAGGGUUAAGUAUUUCUUACUUAAACCCUUAAGGACUUAAUCCAUUAAGUCCAAUAUUACCUUAGGUUAAUUUUCCAAUGAUUACUAAUUAAUAUUUUAACUCAACUAAAUAACUCCCAUGCGUGUCCUGAUAAAUCCCCAAAAUUAGGGUUUUAAGCCAUUAGGGUUUUCCAAACCCUGAUUAGGGUUUCCUACCCAAUACUAGCCCAUUAGUCUAUUGGUUGGGUUUUAAGGUCACUUUGGGUCUCAUUGGGCCCAUUAGGGUUUUAUUCGGUCAAUUAGGACUUGUAUUGGGCCCAUUAGGCCCAUUAGAGUUUCAUUAAGCCCAUUAGGAUUUCAAACAUCCCAAACGAGUCAAAGAAUGCAAACAAGACACACCGCCACCCAACACGGCGGCCGGUGGUGGUUUGAGUUUUUUUUCAUUAUUCUUCUUUCUAGUUACAUUUACAAUGCUAAACCCCAAAUAAUCACACACACAUACUAAUACAAACACAUAUACACAACAACCUACGGGUGGCCGCCGGUGGCACGUGGGGGCAGCGGUGGUGGUUUUUCUUCGGAUCUCUGACCAAGGGACACUCCGGCGGCCUAAUCCCAUCACAGAACACGGACACAACACCACAACACGCACACACAUCCCUUUUUGCCUGGAAAACAAUCCAACACCCACAGAGGUAGGUGGUGAAGGCAGCAGCGCAAGAAGACGGGCAACAACGGCGGCGCUACAGCGAUGAUUGGGUCUACAACAGCAACGACAGCGACGGUGGUUCUCGGCUUGACGUCGGCGGUGCUUCAAUAGCGAUGGGAGCGUCUUCAAUGAUGGUGGCGGCUGGAAGGAUAUGAGAUGGAGAGGAGAGAGAAGAACGAUGGAGGGUGGCAGCGGUGCAAACGAGCGAGGCUCGUUCACAGUGUCCUCAUCCGCAUCAGCUGUCCCGACGUCCUUUGGGUGAUCGAAGAAGCAUGGAAGGUGAACAGUGGCGGCUGGAGGGAGGUAGGUGUGACGGCUGUAUCGCAAUCGAUUUAGGGUUAGGUUUUGAGAGGGUAAUGAAGUUAUAUACCCGGUACCUUGGCCUUUUUCCCAUAAUAACAAGAAUGGUCCCUCCUCCUCUAUUUUCUUUCAAAACAGAUCCAUAAUUUUCCCUUUCAAUCCUUGUCCCCAUAAUUCUUUUCAAUAUAAGUCCAAUAGUCACAAAACAAUCCCUCCUCU
Molecule: long non-coding RNA, 1733 nt
Filed under: Lactuca sativa (garden lettuce)
Lineage: Eukaryota; Viridiplantae; Streptophyta; Magnoliopsida; Asterales; Asteraceae
Description: long non-coding RNA (LSAT_LNC003218)
Source: RNAcentral